Molecule: ribosomal RNA, 342 nt
Filed under: Bacillus subtilis
Lineage: Bacteria; Bacillati; Bacillota; Bacilli; Caryophanales; Bacillaceae
Description: bacterial SSU rRNA
Rfam family: Bacterial small subunit ribosomal RNA
Source: RNAcentral
GUCAGCUUGUGUCGUGAGAUGUUGGGUUAAGUCCCGCAACGAGCGCAACCCUUGAUCUUAGUUGCCAGCAUUUAGUUGGGCACUCUAAGGUGACUGCCGGUGACAAACCGGAGGAAGGUGGGGAUGACGUCAAAUCAUCAUGCCCCUUAUGACCUGGGCUACACACGUGCUACAAUGGAUGGUACAAAGGGCUGCAAGACCGCGAGGUCAAGCCAAUCCCAUAAAACCAUUCUCAGUUCGGAUUGUAGGCUGCAACUCGCCUACAUGAAGCUGGAAUCGCUAGUAAUCGCGGAUCAGCAUGCCGCGGUGAAUACGUUCCCGGGCCUUGUACACACCGCCCGU